UAUAUAAGCACUUAUGCACAAACAUAUAUGAAGGAAUUGGUUAUUUGAUUUAAAGUUAUUUGAUUCAAAGUUAUCACAACAACGUACAAUAUCUUAUGCAUAAGAUACAACAACCAAGGUCUACAUAUUUUACGUAUAUAUACAUGAUAUCACGGUUUAGGGUUUUGACGUAAUAGCAUUUUCAUCUAUAUAUUUUCUCUCUACCUCCCACCGCCUCUCCCCCCCUCUCUCUCUCUCUAGAAUUCUCACCAUGCCUCACAGAAGCUCGGCUGUAAGUUUUCCUUCUGAUUUUUAUAGCCUUAAAUUUAUGAGUUAAAUUGAAUUUGGUAAAGGCUUUAAGCAAUCUGGUCCAACCCCUUCAACCAAUCAGAUUCGUGCGUCCAAUUCUCUCUCUUCUCGUCAAAGAUGCAGCGAGCGAAUGUUAGCGACCCCCUAGCGAGCGCUAGGGGGCGGUGCUCAAGUCUUCCUAGCGUGCUUAGCGAGUGGGGUAACGACUCCCACUCCUUUCAGUCUUAGUAAAUCUUAGGAACGAAAAGUGGCAAACUCUUGAAACAUUUGUAGCUAGCAAUAGAGAAUAUCGAAGCUAGUGGCAAAACUUAAGGUGUUACAUUUAGUAAAUCUUAGGGACGAAAAGUAGUAGACUCUUGAAACUUUUGUAGAUAGCAAUAAAGAAUAUCGAAGCUAGGGGACUAAAAGUGUGAACUCCACGAACUAAUGUGGUAAAAAAAUUAAGGAUGAAUCAAAAAUGAUAAAGUGCUUCCUAGCGUGCUUAGCGAGUGGGGUAACGACUCCCACUCCUUUCAGUCUUAGUAAAUCUUAGGAACGAAAAGUGGCAAACUCUUGAAACAUUUGUAGCUAGCAAUAGAGAAUAUCGAAGCUAGUGGCAAAACUUAAGGUGUUACAUUUAGUAAAUCUUAGGGACGAAAAGUAGUAGACUCUUGAAACUUUUGUAGAUAGCAAUAAAGAAUAUCGAAGCUAGGGGACUAAAAGUGUGAACUCCACGAACUAAUGUGGUAAAAAAAUUAAGGAUGAAUCAAAAAUGAUAAAGUGUUAAGCUUCGUUUGGUUAUGGAAAACUGUUUUUAUUUUCUAUGAAAAUAUUUUCAGAAAAUAGAGUUGAGUUUUCAUUUUCAAUUUUCAAUGAAAAAACGUUUGGUUGGAAUGGGUAGAGUUUUCAUUUUCCAUCUUAGAAAUUUGAAAAACUGUAAAAAUCACUUUUCUAAUUUACAUACAAUUUGGAAAACUGAAAAUUUUCAUUUUCUUAGAAAACUUUGGAAUACUGAACAAACCAAACGUUUUUUCAAAAUUUUCGUUUUUCUUGGAAAUUUUUCCUAGAAAACUGGAAAAUUUUCCACAACAAAAUGCACUUCAUUUUCUAAGAAAAUGUUUUCAGAAAAUAGAGUUGAGUUUUCAUUUUCAAUUUUCAGUGAAAAUUUUAGAAAACGCGUUUGGUUGAAACCGGGAGAGUUUUUAUUUUUCAUUUUAGAAUUUUGGAAAACUGUAAAAAUCAUUUUUCCAAUUUACAUAAAACUUAGAAAACUGGAAAUUUUCAUUUUCUUGGAAAAUUUUGGAAAACUGAACGAACCAAACGCGUUUUCAAAAUUUCCGUUUUUCUUGGAAAAUUUUCCUAGAAAACUAAAAGAAAUUCUACAAGCACCCUAAAGGUGCGUUUGGUUGUGGAAAAUUUUCCAGUUUUCUAGGAAAAUUUUUCAAGAAAAACGGAAAUUUUGAAAACGUGUUUGGUUCAUUCAUUUUUCCAAAAUUUUCCAAAAAAAUGAAAAUUUUCAGUUUUCCAAAUUGUAUGUAAAUUAGAAAAGUGAUUUUUACAGUUUUCCAAAGUUUUCCAAAUUUUUAAGAUGGAAAAUGAAAACUCCCCCGGUUUCAACCAAACGCGUUUUCUAAAAUUUUCAUUGAAAUUUGAAAACGAAAACUCAACUCUAUUUUCUAAAAACAUUUUCUUAGAAAAUGAAAACAGUUUUUCACAACCAAACGCACCCUAAGCUUUUGUGGCAAAACUUUGAAAAUUUUGGGAAAUGACCAAAAAUGACAAAGUGUUAAUUCUAUACAAAACUUUGAAGAAUAGAAACUAUACUAUUUAGGGUUAUGUGAUUUAAUUGUAUAUAUAAUACGUAUUUAAGUCCAGUUAUUCGUUCUUUUGUUUCAAAUUUUAUCAAGUUCUAAUAUUAAAAAGAAACUUUAAGCCUAAAAAACGUCGAUUUGAAUUUUCAUCUGAUGUAAUUGAAGUGGUUUUUCAUUUUGUUAUUCAAACUUAAACAUGACUAGAAUGUGUUCUAGUCAAGUUUUAUAAAUUUUUUCUUUACUUAUCAUUGUUUACAAUUAAUACUACUUUUGAGACUUUAAAGCUGUUGAAUCUUUUUUCUAGUCAGAGCUUGACUUGAGCUUAUAUCAUGAAAGCCCGCCAAUAGCUUCUUCCUCUCAUCAUCCAUUCUUGCUCUCUCCACAUACCUUUUAAACUUCGCAACAUCCAACCUAGCCAUCGCCAUAAGAAAUUGAUCUCGGUAAAUACGAUGGUGGUUCGGCUUAGGGAAGAGCAUUUGGAUUGGGGAACCGACCGAAACCGGAUAGAACCGAUCGGGCUGGGACCAGGACGAUAUUCUUAUGGAUUUUUGGAACCGAGAACCGGUAGGAACCGGUCAUUGGACCCGGCCCAAAACCAGGAACCGAACCGGACCGGCUUUUUUUUCUGUUUGAGUAAUAAAUCGCAAUCUAACUUUUUUUUAAAUGUUUAUAUCUCACGAAUUUGAAGUGACAUUGAUAUUAUUAUUUUUCCUUCAUUUUAUUUAGGUUUUGUAGAUAAUUUUAGACUAUAAAAACUCUUGAUUUGGUUAAAAAUUGAAUGAGUUACAA
Lactuca sativa (garden lettuce) is the source of this 2867-nucleotide non-coding RNA. The record is from RefSeq and is a predicted model, not a curated record. Lineage: Eukaryota; Viridiplantae; Streptophyta; Magnoliopsida; Asterales; Asteraceae.